Long non-coding RNA from Stegodyphus dumicola, 659 nucleotides. RefSeq lists it as uncharacterized. The record is from RefSeq and is a predicted model, not a curated record. NCBI's taxonomy places the organism in Eukaryota, Metazoa, Arthropoda, Arachnida, Araneae, Eresidae.
UUGCAUCCAAUAGCCUCUCACGAUAUAAAAGACUCGCGGGGAUUAAGAUGUGCCAUAAAAGAAACUCACAUAACUGGACAUUAUAAAAAUCAUCUACGCGGGCAGUAGAGCUUUCCUUCAAUAUGAACAAAAACCUGGUUCUCUUCGUUGUCAUCAGUUGUUUCCUGGCUGCAGUUCUAGCGUCAGAAUAUUUGGAACAUGACUACGACAUUCAGAUUCAUCCAACGCACAGUCAUAGCCAUCAUGGUUAUGGAGAUCAUGGAUUUGCGACUAGUGUGAGAUAUGACAGGAGGUACCACCACAAAAUCCCAGAAGUAAUACACAGUAAUGAUGUGAUUUAUCAAUACGUUUCAGAUGGAGGUUAUCAUGGUGAAGGAGGACACAUUUAUUGAAAACUAGAAGUUAAGAAUUUAUUUGGACUGCUGGGUGAUGAAGAUGGAAGUUCUUGCCAUAAAAUUUGUAUAAAUUUGAAAUUUAAUGUAUAAUGUUGGUUACAUUUAAUUUAAUUAAUUUAAGGACUUUAUAUUUCCUGCCACUUUUGUAAAUAAAAUAUUCUGCUUCAAAUUAAUUUUAUUAUUUUGCGUUAUGCAUGCAAGACAGAAUUUGGACAAAUGUGCAGAAACAGAUCUGUAAAUGCUUCUGUCAGAAAGAAGAAGCAU